This 240-nucleotide ribosomal RNA is filed under the name uncultured bacterium. RNAcentral's name for it is "partial 16S ribosomal RNA". It matches the Rfam family "Bacterial small subunit ribosomal RNA", at positions 563 to 806 of the family's 1533-position model. The record is from RNAcentral.
AAGAGUGCGUAGGUGGCUAUUUAAGCGUGGGGUGAAAGGCAGUGGCUUAACCAUUGUAAGCCUUGCGAACUGGAUAACUUGAGUGCAGGAGGGGAAAGUGGAAUUCCUAGUGUAGCGGUGAAUGCGUAGAUAUUAGGAGGAACACCAGUGGCGAAGGCGGCUUUUCUGGACUGUAACUGACACUGANGCACGAAAGCGUGGGUAGCAAACAGGAUANAUACCUGGUAGUCCCNCCGUAAC